GACGAACGCUGGCGGCGUGCUUAACACAUGCAAGUCGAGCGAUGAAGCUCCUUCGGGAGUGGAUUAGCGGCGGACGGGUGAGUAACACGUGGGUAACCUGCCUCAUAGAGGGGAAUAGACUUUCGAAAGGAAGAUUAAUACCGCAUAAGAUUGUAGCUUCGCAUGAAGCAGCAAUUAAAGGAGUAAUCCGCUAUGAGAUGGAACCGCGUCGCAUUAGCUAGGUGGUGAGGUAACGGCUCACCAAGGCGAGGAUGCGUAGCCGAACUGAGAGGGUGAUCGGGCGCAUUGGGACUGAGACACGGCCCAGACGCCUACGGGAGGCAGCGGUGGGGAAUAUUGCAGAGUGGGGGAAACCCUGAUGCAGCAACGCCGCGUGAGUGAUGACGGUCUUCGGAUUGUAAAGCUCUGUCUUCAGGGACGAUAAUGACGGUACCUGAGGAGGAAGCCACGGCUAACUACGUGCCAGCCGCCGCCGUAA
This 478-nucleotide ribosomal RNA is filed under the name uncultured bacterium. Its description in RNAcentral is "partial 16S ribosomal RNA". It matches the Rfam family "Bacterial small subunit ribosomal RNA", at positions 28 to 523 of the family's 1533-position model. The record is from RNAcentral.